AUGAAGAGAUGUAUCCUGCUGAUUCUUGUUACAGUGUCAGGUGUAUUUGCUGACAGCAUUGAUCCAAAAGACACCAAAAUAAUGAGAAGUGAAGAAGAUUCUGUGACACUGAGCUGCACGUAUGAAACAACUAGCCGUGGAGUUUAUCUUUACUGGUACAGACAGAAUCCUAACAGAGAACCUCAAUAUUUACUGUUUAAAGGAGCUCGAUCAUAUACUAAUGAAGAUAUACCAGACAAACAUUUUCAGUCAAAGACGUCUGAAUCAUCCACUGAACUCAUUAUUAAGAGUGUGACUCUGUCAGAUUCAGCUCUAUAUUACUGUGCUCUGAGAGUUGGAGCCCAGUGA
Molecule: non-coding RNA, 348 nt
Organism: Triplophysa dalaica
Lineage: Eukaryota; Metazoa; Chordata; Actinopteri; Cypriniformes; Nemacheilidae
Source: the annotation of a RefSeq genome assembly